GGGAUAUUGGCUCAGUCGGUUAGAGCGUUGGUCUCAUAUUCUGCUAUGAUCUGAUUUAAAGUCAGAGCCAUCCAAAGGUCCUGAGUUCGAUUCUCAGAUGUCCCA
This is a non-coding RNA of Podospora appendiculata, 105 nucleotides long. Lineage: Eukaryota; Fungi; Ascomycota; Sordariomycetes; Sordariales; Podosporaceae. The record is from the annotation of a GenBank genome assembly.